This 77-nucleotide transfer RNA is filed under the name Planktomarina sp. Its description in RNAcentral is "tRNA-Arg". It matches the Rfam family "tRNA". From Rfam's summary of the family: Transfer RNA (tRNA) molecules are approximately 80 nucleotides in length. Lineage: Bacteria; Pseudomonadati; Pseudomonadota; Alphaproteobacteria; Rhodobacterales; Paracoccaceae. The record is from RNAcentral.
GGGCCGUUAGCUCAGCUGGAUAGAGCAGCCCACUUCUAAUGGGCAGGUCGGGGGUUCGAGUCCUCCACGGCCCGCCA